UACGAAGGGGGCUAGCGUUGCUCGGAAUGACUGGGCGUAAAGGGCGCGUAGGCGGGCGGCACAGUCGGGCGUGAAAUUCCUGGGCUUAACCUGGGGGCUGCGUCCGAGACGUGUUGCCUAGAGUGGGGAAGAGGGUCGUGGAAUUCCCAGUGUAGAGGUGAAAUUCGUAGAUAUUGGGAAGAACACCGGUGGCGAAGGCGGCGACCUGGUCCUUGACUGACGCUGAGGCGCGAAAGCGUGGGGAGCAAACAGG
RNAcentral lists this ribosomal RNA (253 nucleotides) under uncultured Acetobacteraceae bacterium. RNAcentral describes it as "partial 16S ribosomal RNA". It matches the Rfam family "Bacterial small subunit ribosomal RNA", at positions 524 to 776 of the family's 1533-position model. The record is from RNAcentral. Lineage: Bacteria; Pseudomonadati; Pseudomonadota; Alphaproteobacteria; Acetobacterales; Acetobacteraceae.